Molecule: long non-coding RNA, 690 nt
Filed under: Equus asinus (donkey)
Lineage: Eukaryota; Metazoa; Chordata; Mammalia; Perissodactyla; Equidae
Description: lncRNA (ENSEASG00005029045.1)
Source: RNAcentral
UUCCUCUGCUUAUGGAAAAUGAGCCAGGAACAAGCUGGACACAGGAGAUAGAUGGAGGCCUUCUCUCCAACUGUUGACACCAGCCAAACAGGAUAAAUAGUUCAUAUUGUAAUGAUGACAAUGAUAAUGAUGAAGAGAAAGCAUUGACCCAGAUGAAAAAAAGUUUUGAUUUUAAGCUCUGCUUAAGCCCUGAAGUCCUGCUGUCAGAGCCACUUACAUGAUCCGAGGGACUUUUGACUACAAAGACGGGAAUUUAAGGAUCGGCUACAUAAUUUAUGGGGCAAAGUGAAAAUGUGGGGCUCCUCGUUAUUGAGAAUUUCAAAAUGGUGACAGCAGAGCACUAAACCAAGUGCACACCCAUGAAGCCGGCCCUGCUUACUUUACAAAUGGGCGAACUGAGGUCCAGGACAGUAGAGCAAGAUGCUACCAGCCCACAGCUGGGACUCCACAGUCAGUGGCUGGAGGAAAUUCAGAUCCCUUUCUUGUACCAAACUCCCCCACGCUGGAGACAUUGCAUUAACUUCAGAAUGUGGCCAAGCCAGUCCCUUGCAGAAGGAGGCGCCUCUGCUCUGAGCUGGGCAUCUAUGCUGACCCAGGCUUGCGUCUAGCCCACAGCCUGGUUUUUGAGUUUAUUAGUGAAAUUCAAGCAAGCUUGAAGAAACUCUUGAUUCAAUAAAAAGAAGAAUAACU